RNAcentral lists this ribosomal RNA (483 nucleotides) under uncultured bacterium. RNAcentral describes it as "bacterial SSU rRNA". It matches the Rfam family "Bacterial small subunit ribosomal RNA", at positions 30 to 507 of the family's 1533-position model. The record is from RNAcentral.
UGAACGCUAGCUACAGGCUUAACACAUGCAAGUCGAGGGGCAGCAUUAGGUAGCAAUACUGAGAUGGCGACCGGCGCACGGGUGCGUAACGCGUAUCCAACCUUCCCGUUACUCAUGGAUAGCCUUCCGAAAGGGAGAUUAAUACAUGAUGGUGUUGAAAUUCCGCAUGUUAUUUCAACUAAAGAUUUAUCGGUAACGGAUGGGGAUGCGUGACAUUAGAUAGUUGGCGGGGUAACGGCCCACCAAGUCUACGAUGUCUAGGGGUUCUGAGAGGAAGGUCCCCCACACUGGAACUGAGACACGGUCCAGACUCCUACGGGAGGCAGCAGUGAGGAAUAUUGGUCAAUGGCCGAGAGGCUGAACCAGCCAAGUAGCGUGAAGGAUGAAGGUUCUAUGGAUUGUAAACUUCUUUUAUACGGGAUAACAUCACCUACGUGUAGGUGCCUGCAUGUACCGUAUGAAUAAGCAUCGGCUAACUCCGUG